This 1350-nucleotide ribosomal RNA is filed under the name uncultured bacterium. Its description in RNAcentral is "bacterial SSU rRNA". It matches the Rfam family "Bacterial small subunit ribosomal RNA", at positions 28 to 1381 of the family's 1533-position model. The record is from RNAcentral.
GAUGAACGCUAGCGGCAGGCCUAAUACAUGCAAGUCGAGGGGUAGAGAGAGCUUGCUUUCUUGAGACCGGCGCACGGGUGCGUAACGCGUAUGCAACCUACCUUUAUCUGGGGGAUAGCCCGGAGAAAUCCGGAUUAAUACCGCAUAAAAUCACAGAAUAGCAUUAUUUAAUGAUCAAACAUUUAUGGGAUGAAGAUGGGCAUGCGUGUCAUUAGCUAGUUGGCGGGGUAACGGCCCACCAAGGCGACGAUGACUAGGGGAUCUGAGAGGAUGGCCCCCCACACUGGUACUGAGACACGGACCAGACUCCUACGGGAGGCAGCAGUAAGGAAUAUUGGUCAAUGGAGGCAACUCUGAACCAGCCAUGCCGCGUGCAGGAAGACUGCCCUAUGGGUUGUAAACUGCUUUUAUCCGGGAAUAAACCUUUCUACGUGUAGGAAGCUGAAUGUACCGGAAGAAUAAGGAUCGGCUAACUCCGUGCCAGCAGCCGCGGUAAUACGGAGGAUCCAAGCGUUAUCCGGAUUUAUUGGGUUUAAAGGGUGCGUAGGCGGCCUGUUAAGUCAGGGGUGAAAGACGGUAGCUCAACUAUCGCAGUGCCCUUGAUACUGAUGGGCUUGAAUGGACUAGAGGUAGGCGGAAUGAGACAAGUAGCGGUGAAAUGCAUAGAUAUGUCUCAGAACACCGAUUGCGAAGGCAGCUUACUAUGGUCUUAUUGACGCUGAGGCACGAAAGCGUGGGGAUCAAACAGGAUUAGAUACCCUGGUAGUCCACGCCCUAAACGAUGAACACUCGCUGUUGGCGAUACACAGUCAGCGGCUAAGCGAAAGCGUUAAGUGUUCCACCUGGGGAGUACGCCCGCAAGGGUGAAACUCAAAGGAAUUGACGGGGGCCCGCACAAGCGGAGGAGCAUGUGGUUUAAUUCGAUGAUACGCGAGGAACCUUACCCGGGCUUGAAAGUUAGUGAAUGAUCUAGAGAUAGAUCAGUGAGCAAUCACACGAAACUAGGUGCUGCAUGGCUGUCGUCAGCUCGUGCCGUGAGGUGUUGGGUUAAGUCCCGCAACGAGCGCAACCCCUAUGUUUAGUUGCCAGCAUGUAAUGAUGGGGACUCUAAACAGACUGCCUGUGCAAACAGAGAGGAAGGAGGGGACGACGUCAAGUCAUCAUGGCCCUUACGUCCGGGGCUACACACGUGCUACAAUGGAUGGUACAGAGGGCAGCUAGCUGGCAACAGUAUGCGAAUCUCACAAAGCCAUUCACAGUUCGGAUUGGGGUCUGCAACUCGACCCCAUGAAGUUGGAUUCGCUAGUAAUCGCGUAUCAGCAAUGACGCGGUGAAUACGUUCCCGGGCCU